Vicia villosa (hairy vetch) is the source of this 2910-nucleotide RNA transcript. It is a transcript of the gene named dehydration-responsive element-binding protein 1A-like, with no coding region annotated. Lineage: Eukaryota; Viridiplantae; Streptophyta; Magnoliopsida; Fabales; Fabaceae. The transcript has 5 exons. The record is from RefSeq and is a predicted model, not a curated record.
UACACACAGGCACACUUUCUUUCUCUUCCUUUACUCUCUUUUCUCAUCAGUUUCCUUUUCUCUUUCCAAAUAAAUUAUAACCAAUCACAAACCCUUCAACUUGGCAACUAGCUUUCUCACACAAAACACACACACUCACACUCUCCCUUUUACCUCACCUCUUUCCUUCAACCAUGCUUGCCUAUAUAUACAACACAUCUUACUCUUCUCUCUCUUAAAACUAACUCUCUCCAAUUCCUAUAUUCUCAAUCAAAAACCUAUAUCCACUCUCUUCAACACUUUGAAAUGUUUUAUACUAGUGACCCCAUUUUAUCAUCAGCUUCAUCUUCCUACAACACCUCAUCGCCAGAAUGGGAGAUGCAGUUAGCAGCGAGUUGCCCGAAGAAGCCAGCAGGAAGGAAGAUAUUCAAGGAAACUCGCCACCCGGUGUAUAGGGGCGUGAGGAAGAGGAACUUAGAUAAAUGGGUGUGCGAACUGAGAGAGCCCAACAAGAAGACUAGAAUUUGGCUAGGAACUUUUCCAACGGCCGAGAUGGCAGCCCGAGCCCACGAUGUUGCUGCGAUGGCACUGAGAGGCCGCUAUGCCUGUCUCAAUUUUGCGGACUCGGUGUGGCGACUCCCUAUUCCUGCAACCUCUGAUACAAAAGAUAUACAAAAAGCGGCUACAGAAGCUGCCGAGGCUUUCAGACCAGAUAAAACUUUAGUGAAUAAGAACUUUGACAUCGUUGGACCGGUCAUCAUUGUACCAGACUUUGACAUCGUUGUACCGGUUAUCAUUGUACCGGAUUUUGACAUUGUUGUACCGGUUAUCAUUGUACCGGUCAUGGCGACAGAGAAGUUGAAUAUGUUUUGUAUAGAAGAGGAAGAAGAAGAAGAAGGAGUGAUGAACAUGCCUGAUAUAUGGAGGAAUAUGGCUCUAAUGUCCCCUACACAUAGUUUUGGGGAUCAUGAGUAUGAACAUAUUGAUGUACAAGAUUUUCAAGAUGAUGAUGAGGAUUUUAAAAAACCUGUUACAGUGAUUUGGGCUGUGACUGCAAUUGGAGUUCUUUGGUCAAAUUUUGCAGUAAUAUCAAGGAUCAUGAUCGUUACCAUGACUGCAAACACGCCGAUGUUUGUUUUCAUUUUGGUAACUUUAAGGUGCCCACAUUUCUUUACGAGUGUUAUAGUGUGUGAUACACAGAAAAGUUCAUCAAUACUAAAAGUGGUAGUGGUAAUGGUUUUAUCUAUCAAAUUGUAUUGCAUUUUUUCUUUAUCUUCUUUGCCUAUAAAUUUCUAGGUUUGUUUUUCGCACAUCACUAACUACCAAAAGAGAGAGAAAGCUUCUUCAAGAAUGGGUGAUCAGAAUCAAGAACCCAUUUAUGCGCAAAACCUGUGGAAGUUACGAAAAGCAUGGAUCGAAGAAUAUAGUUAAUUUGCUUUUUUUAAUAAAUUGUGCCUAAAUUUCGCCAGCCUAAAGAGGCUGUGCCGGGCUGUGCACUUUCAGCCCAUCACAUCAAGGUGACAGGAUUCGAACCUAUGGCCCUCUGUACCCAAAACAGAUGCGCUGACCAGACUUGAUAUGUGGGAACAAAAUGAUCAUUUUUUACAAUGUCCCAAAUAUCAUAAUUCACCCCUUCAUUAAAAAAAAAUCUCUUUACCAUAAGCAUAUCCUUGACCAUUGAAAAGAUUGAGCUUAGUUUAAUGAAUUUUUGAAGUCAUCUUUUCUCUUGAGACAAUAUUUAGUCUCCAAAAAAGAGUCAGGCUCAAAUACCACAUGAUUACCAAGUGACUUCAAACAUAAGAAAGUGUGAGAAUUGUGAUAUAAAUAUUUUCAAAAUUUUGAUUGAAUAAAAAUGAUUUUUGAGAAGUUUUUAAAAGACAGUUAGAUGAAGAAGAAAAGAAGAAGAAGAAGAAGAAGAUAAUUGAUAAUUGAUAAUAGGAGAUGGGAAAAUAAAGAGUAAAGUUAUUAAGAAAAACACCCAAAAUUUAUCCUAUUUCAACCUGAAACAACUAAGAGUUCCACUAACAAUUGAGAUUUUAUCCUAAGUCUAGCCCCGAAGGAUAACACCUUCAAAUUUCCACUAACAGAUGAGAUUUUACUACAGGUUCUGCCCACGGCAUCUUACACAAAGCUUUUAUCUCACUUUCAACUUACAACCUUUAUAUUAUAUCAGUUCAAGAUACAUAACUCUCUUGGUUUUACAAUUACAUUUCUAAAGUUACAGUAGCAACACUAUGCCAAAUUUGUCUUUUAGCAGCACCCCUACGAAAGCGCUUUUGGAAAAAGCGCUGGCAUAGGCUUCACUAAAAACAAAAUUAAAAAACACGCUAAAAAAACAUUAAAAAAGCGCUGGUAUAGGGAAUGUCUACAAAAGCGCUUUUCAAAAGCGCUGGUAUAGCCCACCUUACGAAAGCGCUUUGUAAAAGCGCUGAUAUAGGGGUAGAUAUGAAAGCGCUUCAAAAAGCGCUGGUAUAGGUAUAGGGUACGAAAGCGCUUUUAGCGAAAAAGCGCUGGUAUAAGGUUACCUAUGAAAGCGCUUUUGAAAAGCGCUGACGUAGGUCAUUUUAAAAUUAAAUUUUUUAAAACAAAUUAAAACAGACGCGUUUUGUCUUUCAUUAUUUCAUCGUUCUCACUGUUCUUCACUGCCCUCACUGUUCUCUUCUUCAUCGUUCAUCCUUAACAAAACCGACCACCACUCAACGUCUAUCGUCGCCGCCAACCUCCACAACACCGACCACCACUCAACAUCUUCUCGCCGCCGCCGUCGUUCUCGCUGAGCAGUUUCACUUUUUGAAGGGGAUAUUAAAGAUAUUGAAGUCUCUGGUUUCUACUUGUACAACGCCGAUUCAAACCUACCCAUCUCCCACAUCAAGUCUAACUCAGGUUAAAUGGCUCCGAAUAGAGAUGCUCCACCUGAAAACUCACAAGAAA